RNAcentral lists this ribosomal RNA (238 nucleotides) under Dolichomastix tenuilepis. RNAcentral describes it as "partial Bacterial small subunit ribosomal RNA". It matches the Rfam family "Bacterial small subunit ribosomal RNA", at positions 940 to 1179 of the family's 1533-position model. Lineage: Eukaryota; Viridiplantae; Chlorophyta; Mamiellophyceae; Dolichomastigales; Dolichomastigaceae. The record is from RNAcentral.
UGUGGUUUAAUUCGAUGCAACGCGAAGAACCUUACCUACACUUGACAUGCUGAGAAGUUACUAGAGAUAGUUUCGUGCCUUCGGGAACUCAGACACAGGUGCUGCAUGGCUGUCGUCAGCUCGUGUCGUGAGAUGCUGGGUUAAGUCCCGCAACGAGCGCAACCCUUGUCCUUAGUUGCCAGCAUUAAGUUGGGCACUCUAAGGAGACUGCCGGUGACAAACCGGAGGAAGGUGGGGA